GAUGAACGCUGGCGGCGUGCCUAAUACAUGCAAGUCGAGCGAACAGAUGAGGAGCUUGCUCCUCUGACGUUAGCGGCGGACGGGUGAGUAACACGUGGAUAACCUACCUAUAAGACUGGGAUAACUUCGGGAAACCGGAGCUAAUACCGGAUAAUAUAUUGAACCGCAUGGUUCAAUAGUGAAAGACGGUUUUGCUGUCACUUAUAGAUGGAUCCGCGCCGCAUUAGCUAGUUGGUAAGGUAACGGCUUACCAAGGCAACGAUGCGUAUCCGACCUGAGAGGGUGAUCGGCCACACUGGAACUGAGACACGGUCCAGACUCCUACGGGAGGCAGCAGUAGGGAAUCUUCCGCAAUGGGCGAAAGCCUGACGGAGCAACGCCGCGUGAGUGAUGAAGGUCUUCGGAUCGUAAAACUCUGUUAUUAGGGAAGAACAAAUGUGUAAGUAACUAUGCCCGUCUUGACGGUACCUAAUCAGAAAGCCACGGCUAACUACGUG
RNAcentral lists this ribosomal RNA (497 nucleotides) under uncultured bacterium. RNAcentral's name for it is "partial 16S ribosomal RNA". It matches the Rfam family "Bacterial small subunit ribosomal RNA", at positions 28 to 507 of the family's 1533-position model. The record is from RNAcentral.